UACGAAGGGGGCUAGCGUUGCUCGGAUUGACUGGGCGUAAAGGGCGUGUAGGCGGUCUGUUAAGUCUGAUGUGAAAGCCCGAGGCUUACCCUCGGAAGUGCAUUGGAGACUGGCGGACUGGAGUCCCGGAGAGGAUGGUGGAAUUCCCAGUGUAGAGGUGAAAUUCGUAGAUAUUGGGAAGAACACCGAUGGCGAAGGCAGCCAUCUGGACCGACACUGACGCUGAGGCGCGAAAGCGUGGGGAGCAAACAGG
Molecule: ribosomal RNA, 253 nt
Filed under: uncultured bacterium
Lineage: Bacteria
Description: partial 16S ribosomal RNA
Rfam family: Bacterial small subunit ribosomal RNA
Source: RNAcentral